GGCCCUGUCGUCUAGCGGUCCAGGACGCCGCCCUCUCACGGCGGAAACGCCGGUUCGAUCCCGGUCGGGGCUACCA
This 76-nucleotide transfer RNA is filed under the name Ferirhizobium litorale. RNAcentral describes it as "tRNA-Glu". It matches the Rfam family "tRNA". Rfam says of the family: Transfer RNA (tRNA) molecules are approximately 80 nucleotides in length. Their secondary structure includes four short double-helical elements and three loops (D, anti-codon, and T loops). The record is from RNAcentral. Lineage: Bacteria; Pseudomonadati; Pseudomonadota; Alphaproteobacteria; Hyphomicrobiales; Rhizobiaceae.